GCCGGGCGCGGUGGCGUGCGCCUGUGGUCCCAGCUACUCGGGAGGCUGAGGCAGGAGGAUCGCUUGAGCCCAGGAGUUCUGGGCUGUAGUGCGCUAUGCCGAUCGGGUGUCCGCACUAAGUUCGGCAUCAAUAUGGUGACCUCCCGGGAGCGGGGGACCACCAGGUUGCCUAAGGAGGGGUGAACCGGCCCAGGUCAGAAACGGAGCAGGUCAGAAAACAUGAUGACUUGCAAGGGGUCUAUCAGAAUUCAUCUAGAUGCUUUCUGAAAAAUGCUAAAUGCUCUCAA
This 287-nucleotide signal recognition particle RNA is filed under the name Suricata suricatta (meerkat). RNAcentral describes it as "Metazoan signal recognition particle RNA (ENSSSUG00005011493.1)". It matches the Rfam family "Metazoan signal recognition particle RNA". Rfam says of the family: The signal recognition particle (SRP) is a universally conserved ribonucleoprotein. It is involved in the co-translational targeting of proteins to membranes. The eukaryotic SRP consists of a 300-nucleotide 7S RNA and six proteins: SRPs 72, 68, 54, 19, 14, and 9. Lineage: Eukaryota; Metazoa; Chordata; Mammalia; Carnivora; Herpestidae. The record is from Rfam by way of RNAcentral.